CAGAAGAAGUCCCGGCUAACUUCGUGCCAGCAGCCGCGGUAAUACGAAGGGGGCUAGCGUUACUCGGAAUUAUUGGGCGUAAAGCGUGCGUAGGCUGCUUAGUAAGUCAAAAGUGAAAGCCUUGGGCUCAACCUAAGAAUUGCUUUUGAAACUACCAAGCUUGAGUACUGUAGGGGAUAGCGGAAUUCCUAGUGUAGGGGUGAAAUUCGUAGAUAUUAGGAGGAACACCGGAGGCGAAAGCGGUUAUCUGGACAGUUACUGACGCUGUUGCACGAAAGCGUGGGGAGCAAACAGGAUUAGAUACCCUGGUAGUCCACGCUGUAAACGAUG
Molecule: ribosomal RNA, 330 nt
Filed under: Candidatus Midichloria mitochondrii
Lineage: Bacteria; Pseudomonadati; Pseudomonadota; Alphaproteobacteria; Rickettsiales; Candidatus Midichloriaceae
Description: bacterial SSU rRNA
Rfam family: Bacterial small subunit ribosomal RNA
Source: RNAcentral